This 511-nucleotide ribosomal RNA is filed under the name uncultured bacterium. Its description in RNAcentral is "bacterial SSU rRNA". It matches the Rfam family "Bacterial small subunit ribosomal RNA", at positions 8 to 508 of the family's 1533-position model. The record is from RNAcentral.
AGGGUUUGAUCAUGGCUCAGAUUGAACGCUGGCGGCAGGCCUAACACAUGCAAGUCGAGCGGUAACAGGAAGUAGCUUGCUACUUCGCUGACGAGCGGCGGACGGGUGAGUAAUGCCUGGGAAUAUGCCUUGAUGUGGGGGAUAACUAUUGGAAACGAUAGCUAAUACCGCAUAAUGCCUACGGGCCAAAGAGGGGGAUCUUCGGACCUCUCGCGUCAAGAUUAGCCCAGGUGGGAUUAGCUAGUUGGUGGGGUAAAGGCUCACCAAGGCGACGAUCCCUAGCUGGUCUGAGAGGAUGAUCAGCCACACUGGAACUGAGACACGGUCCAGACUCCUACGGGAGGCAGCAGUGGGGAAUAUUGCACAAUGGGGGAAACCCUGAUGCAGCCAUGCCGCGUGUAUGAAGAAGGCCUUCGGGUUGUAAAGUACUUUCAGCAGUGAGGAAGGUGGUGAUGUUAAUAGCAUCAUCAUUUGACGUUAGCUGCAGAAGAAGCACCGGCUAACUCCGUGC